This 460-nucleotide ribosomal RNA is filed under the name uncultured bacterium. Its description in RNAcentral is "partial 16S ribosomal RNA". It matches the Rfam family "Bacterial small subunit ribosomal RNA", at positions 338 to 795 of the family's 1533-position model. The record is from RNAcentral.
CCUACGGGCGGCAGCAGUGAGGAAUAUUGGUCAAUGGGCGAGAGCCUGAACCAGCCAAGUCGCGUGAAGGAUGACGGCCCUACGGGUUGUAAACUUCUUUUGUCAGGGAGCAAUUUGGUCCACGCGUGGGCUUAGCGAGAGUAGCUGCAGAAAAAGCAUCGGCUAACUACGUGCCAGCCGCCGCGGUAAUACGGAGGAUGCGAGCGUUAUCCGGAUUUAUUGGGUUUAAAGGGUGCGUUGGCGGAAUAUCAAGUCAGCGGUAAAAAUUCGGGGCUCAACCCCGUCGUGCCGUUGAAACUGAUGAUCUUGAGUGGGCGAGAGGUAUGCGGAAUGCGUGGUGUAGCGGUGAAAUGCAUAGAUAUAACGAAGAACUCCGAUUGCGAAGGCAGCAUACCGGCGCCCAACUGACGCUGAAGGACGAAAGCGUGGGUAUCGAACAGGAUUAGAUACCCCAGUAGUC